GUGGUGGGGAGGGUGGUGGGGAGGGUGGUGGGGAGGGUGGUGGGGAGGGUGGUGGGGAGGGUGGCGGCGGUGAGGGUGGUGGCGGCGAGGUUGGCGGAGGCGGUAGAACUGAUGGCGGUGGGAGAUUAGUGAGUGGCGAUAGGCAGCUUGCACCAUAGAAUCCCGUGAGGCAGUCGGGCUUGUCACCCUCCACCUCUCCGCGAACCAACAGGUCAUUGGAUUUGCAGGCAAUACCCUCGGAGACUUGUACGACCCAGAAGCGCAGCAGAUCCGUAAUGUACGGCUGGAGCCGCUUGGCACUGGCCGCCGACAUGAAGGAACCGCAGACCGCGAUGGUCGGGAGCGUCAGCGGUCGGGCGGUGUAGGAAGUACACCUCUUCAGGAGGAAUAUCUCCAGAAUUGUAGCUCCUGCGGACCCGGAGACGUCGGUGAUGUUUCUGGAAAUUGUCCUGGCGAUUGAAUUGCAGAGAUUGUUGGGCCACUUAGGGUAGGAUCCGGAACUGGAAUUCAAGAGGAUGUUUACGCAGACAN
This 531-nucleotide long non-coding RNA is filed under the name Volvox carteri. RNAcentral's name for it is "long non-coding RNA (VCAR_LNC003044)". Lineage: Eukaryota; Viridiplantae; Chlorophyta; Chlorophyceae; Chlamydomonadales; Volvocaceae. The record is from RNAcentral.